AUGAGGGAGGAAGGGCUGCGGACGAUGGCGGAGGACGCGCCGGGCACCAGCGGCCGGCGGCGGCUGACGCGCGUCCGCACGCUCGGCCGGGGCGCGUCCGGCGCCGUCGUGUCGCUCUUCGCGGCCGGCGACGGCGACGAGCUGCUCGCGGUCAAGUCGGCCGGAGCCGCCGACGCGCAGGCGCUGCUGCGGCGGGAGGGCGGCAUCCUGGCCUCCCUCUGCUCGCCCUACGUGCUCCCCUGCCUCGGCUCCCGCGCCGCGGCCGGCGGGGAGUACCAGCUCUUCCUCGAGUUCGCGCCCGGCGGCUCGCUCGCCGACGAGGUCGAGCGCAACGGCGGCUGCCUCGAGGAAGGCGCCGUCCGCGCCUACGCGGCCGACGUGGCCAGGGGCCUCGCGUACCUCCACGGGGAGUCCAUGGUCCACGGCGACGUCAAGGGCCGGAACGUGGUCAUCGGCGCCGACGGCUGGGCCAAGCUCGCGGACUUCGGGUGCGCCCGGAGCGUGGGCUCGGCGGGGCCGAUUGGGGGCACGCCGGCGUUCAUGGCGCCUGAGGUGGUGCGAGGGGAGGAGCAGGGCCCGGCCGCCGACGUCUGGGCCCUGGGCUGCACCGUCAUCGAGAUGGCCACCGGCCGCGCCCCCUGGAGCCACAUGGACGACGUGGUCGCGGCGGUGCGCCUCAUCGGGUACACGGACGCCGUGCCGGAGGCGCCCGAGCGCCUGUCGUCGGAGGCCAAGGACUUCCUUGACAAGUGCCUCAGGCGGUGCGCCGGCGAGCGGUGGACCGCGGAGCAGCUGCUGGAGCACCCGUUCUUGGCGUUCGCCGGCUGUGGCGCCGACGUCGAGUCGGCUGAGCUGAAGGGCAAGUGGGUCUCCCCCAAGAGCACAUUGGACGCUGCAAUGUGGGAAUCUGACGCCGACGAGGAUGAGAACGUGCCCGAUGAUGACACGGCCGAGAGGAUGAAGGCAUUGGCGGCCUUCUGCUCGGUCUUGCCGGACUGGGAGUCCGACGACGGCUGGAUCGAUGUAUUGAGCUGCCAAUCUGAGACGCCGGCCGAGCAGUCCUGCAGUGAAGCUCCCGAUUCGCCGGCGGCCGCGCCGGCUGAGGAGGCCAAUGUAUAUAUUUGGGAUGAUGAAAGAGUAGAAGCAGAAUCAGGAGUAGAAGAAGCUGGAGUCGUUGGUGCUGCCGUGCCGGUGGCCGCGGCGCCGCCUGAAGAGACGGCGUACGAUUACGACGAAGGCUUCCGGGACGAAGAAUCGUCGUUACUGCUGGAAGCAGAGUUUGACGCCGAGGCUUUCGACGUCGGCGGCGAGCUCGUUGUGCAUAAUGUAGGAGUAGCCGAUGAAGCUUUAGUGAAUCAGCAGCAGGAAGAUGUACAUUCGUCGGAUUCGAUCGCUAGCGAUCCGGCUGUAGUUAGUGUUGAUAGCGGUGAAAAAGAAAUACUGCCAGUAAAGUCGUUGAAGAUGCCAAAUUUGCUCUAUUUCUCGCUUCGUUUUCCUCUGUUACUUUCGCAUUUUUACACCAUGUCAGAUCAGAUCACAACGUGCACCACAAGAUCACCUGGGCUAUCACGGCGUUGA
RNAcentral lists this ribosomal RNA (1578 nucleotides) under Triticum aestivum (bread wheat). RNAcentral's name for it is "partial small subunit ribosomal RNA". Lineage: Eukaryota; Viridiplantae; Streptophyta; Magnoliopsida; Poales; Poaceae. The record is from RNAcentral.